Long non-coding RNA from Acinonyx jubatus (cheetah), 857 nucleotides. RefSeq lists it as uncharacterized. NCBI's taxonomy places the organism in Eukaryota, Metazoa, Chordata, Mammalia, Carnivora, Felidae. The record is from RefSeq and is a predicted model, not a curated record. The transcript is spliced from 4 exons.
CUUGCCUGCACGGCUAAAAAUAACAAAUGACAAAGGUCAUGUCUGCUCCUACCUAUUGGAGGAAUCUACAAAGAAUGAAGCUUUUGAUUCACUGACUUGGGGAAGUGAGAACUCUCCUGCCGGCCACAGCCCCUGGAAUUCUUCACCAGGUCUCGCUGGCCCAUGCCAAGGACAUGGGGGAAGCUCAGGGAGGUCUGCCUGUCUCUCUGGGAGACAGCUCCCCCUGCACUGGAGACCCAGGCCCUUGAGCAGUGCCCCGUGAACCCAUUCUCCCAUACCUGAGCUGGAGAUGGUGGCAAAUCCCCCGGUGUCCCCGAUGAGUCCCAGGCCACAGACACAACCCCCCACUCUGACCUCUCGGCUUCAGCACAGACAACCACCGCAGAGUGGCUACACCCUGCGAGGUGGCCACCGGAUCCAGUCCAGUGGCACUCUGGCUGCUCCAGUCCUGGUUACCUGGAAGUCCUUUUGUUCUGAGGACUCUCUGUACGACUGGCUGGUAGAGAGUGGCCCUGGGACCAUGAGGAAAGGGCAGCCACCAUGUGUCCACCUGGCCGGACCCAAGAACGGAGGCUUCCAAUGAAAUGGGCCAUAGCACAGGAAGAAACCGUGCAUUGUUUCCCGUCUGGCAGAGCAACGUGACUGGAGAGACAGCACUUCCCACAGAGUGGUUUCCCGGCUUUUACAACCUUCCCCUUUGUGUGUUGACGUUCUGUUUUAUUUUAAACUUUUCAGGUGUGAGGAACUCACCCCUAUUUUGUUUUUCACUUUUAAGUGAAUGGAUAGUGUGCUAAUCACAAGAGUUCCUGUUUGACAAAUACUAGAACAUCUAUGCUGCAAACAUAUUAUUUAGUCAA